Molecule: long non-coding RNA, 1567 nt
Organism: Zonotrichia albicollis (white-throated sparrow)
Lineage: Eukaryota; Metazoa; Chordata; Aves; Passeriformes; Passerellidae
Source: Ensembl
GCUUCCUGCUUCUUCUAGUUUCAAAAAACUGGGGUUAUUUGCUAGAUUUUCUCUGUGCACUACAAUAGGAGAUAAUUUUUGACAAGGCCUUAAAGAAGGAACUAGUUAAGAAAUAAGUGUAUAAUACGAGAUUCAAUUUUACCACUGUCUAAUAAGAACUGCCAUUUGUUCUACUGAUUUCAGCCUUUAUCUCCCCUCUGAAAUGUAGAUAUUCCUUCAUACAUCAGCAAACUCAAGGGAAAUCAGAGCCAUGUUAUAGCAGGUUCUAUACAAGCACAUGGGAAUGAAUGAUGUUAAUCUAAAAAAAGUUUGAAAAUUAAUGCCAAAUAUGUGAAGAUAUUACUUAUCCACAGCUGCUGAGUGGGUGUGGUCUGGAGAUGGGAGGAACACAGGUCUUUUAAGACCCAAACCCUACCCAGUGAGCUCUGCUCCCAAAACACUGGCUGCUCUGAGAUUUUAUCAAAUCUAAGGUAUGUACUUCAAAAGCCAAAAUUAAAUGACAGUGAGAUAACAUCACCAAGAAAACCCCAAGAGGUCGCUGGUGCAUGGUUGCCACAAAGCCAGGAACAAGAGAGACAGCAAGUGACAGCUAAAGAAUAGGAGCAAGAGGAAGGAAACAGCAGAAGUUUUGGGAAGAAUUUAAUGUGAUCAGCUCCACAGAAAGAUUCUUGAAUGGUGACAUGGCAUUUUCAGGCAAGAUUCAAGAAAAACAAGUUUGUGGGAUACAACCUUCCAAAGAACAGCCUACUGCACUUCCCAAAUGUUUGGAGUUCCUAUCCGAGAUGGAGUAGGCUAUUUGGGGAACAAAGCUCUUUUAAGGACAUCCGGUUCAAUAAGGAUGAGAAAAGAUCUAAAUAAAUACUACCCAGAGACCUCUUACUUUCUUUGAAGACUGCAGUGAUCUUUUUAACAGUGCUGUGUAAAAAUGACAUAUGUGAAAUACAAUGAAAUUUGUCGAGAGUUCCAAUGCUGAAGAUUAAGUAAAUAUGAUUUUACUCUCUGUACUAAAUCUGCUGAUGAAGAAGCUAAAUUCUGAUCAGCAGCAGUUACAGUAACCAGCUCGCCUGCUUCUCUCAUGCUGGGGAUAAUUCUGCCUUGGAGAUGCCAUUUGUUGAUAUCUCUUUGCCAUGACAGAUGUUUAAGCUGAUACUUCUUCAGAUGACAAGACUGAAAAUAGACUUAACUCCAUUUGAUGGAAACCCCCCAGCAUCAAUGGAACCAGUGCAGACCUCGAGCCCUUUAUCUUGCCUCUCAGACACUACUUUGGCAGCCCCAUAUAUGAUAAUGUAAGAAUAAUUGCUUAUUACAUCUCUGCUCUAGCAUACAAGCAUUGUGUAACUCAGCAUUAAUGUCUGACAACCCAGCUGUCAUCUUUCCAAAAAUACUUGGUCUCUAACUACUGUAGCUGCUGCUGCUGCUUCUACUUCAAACCAAGGCAAGGGAUUUUGCUCUGGGCCAUUUUGACAGGGUGUUAUCUUUUGAAAAGACAGAUGUUUGUGCUGCAACUGUCUGGUGGUUUUAAGGCUCAUGCACAUGUUUCAAUAAAUAAGUGCUAAAUUACUUGCCA